GCCGAUCCACGUGCUCCGACAAAAAUGCUCGUAAAUGGUUCGCCGAUGAGUAUACCGCCCUUCUCGUGAUAUUAGUGUAAUUUUAAUGCGUUCUGUGAUAAGAUAAAUGCAAUUCGGUGUCGAUUCGUUAUCAGGUGCUGUACGAUGUUCGCGGCAUGUUCGGUGGGGUAAAUAAAUCUUUGCGCGCGUUACACUAUCAGUAAACGUGGACCACGCGUCGUCGCUAGUACGAGUUGUGGCACUGAUUGUGAACAAAAUGUUGGAAUUCCCGCGGACCGGAACUCUUGACGGAAUUAGCGGGUCGAGAAGUGGCGUCCAGUUACGUUCGGUUGAUGCCAAGUGUUGUAUAAUAGGAUUAGCUUCAGUGCGGCGAAGAGUUCCCGGCACCCUUGUUUGAUAUACGGAUUCUCAAUUGGAGAGCAGCUAGGACGUGCCACCGGCAGCAGCAACAGCACAGAGGCAGCGCGCCAAGACCUCGGGCCGUUUUAGUUUCGGUCAGUUCGGUUUGUUCGUGACGAUCACCCAGUCAGUCAUUACGGCGGUGACCAUUCUCCGGGACGCACGUGUGUGUCACAGGACUUCCCGGACAUUCAUUUGCCUUGGAGAGCGAGAGAGAUCAGAACAACGCCGAGCUGAGUUACAGUGGCCUCUGAUGAAGAUCAAAGUUAAGGACGCUCUAGAUUGCUGUAUUGUUGGGGCGUGAAUGAACGCACCGUAGACGCGACUCAAGCAGCCCUUUCUUUCGUUCGUUGCCUUGCCUAGUGAUAAGAAGUGACGAUUCUGGUUGGGGUUUGCUCUCGGCAGACUUCAGUAUCGGCUAUAGGAUUGAAUAAUAAUAUUUAUACAGCCGAUUAUCACCCUCCGGGUAUCUGUUUGAAGUGGCUGACCCGCGACGACCUGGCGCAGGUUCUCCAAAGCCAAUCGGUUCGAACAAGUGUGUGCAAAUGGUGUGUGAACUGCUGGCUUCCCACAUUUAAUCGAGGAAAACGUCCAAAGUGUGAAAGUGCAAUGGAAGUCGGCCGAUAACCGGUGCAUCAAUUAUUCUUUGUGUAAAAAAAUCGAAGCAAAACAAAAACCAACUCAAUUAACAGAACUUGAAGACCUUUUCGACAAUGGCCGAGCAGGUGAAGAUGGUCAACGGGAACGGGGCUCCCGGGACGAUCGUGAAUGGGUCCGCCGUCAACGGGCACGUCCCGGCGAAGGCCAAGGAACUCUCAGCUCCCAACGGGGAAGUUUCCCACGAGCCACCGGAUGGGGGAACUCGCGCGUGGUUGGUCAUGGUGGGGGCGUUCCUCUGCAACGGAGUGCUCUUUGGCGUUAUCAACACCUACAGUGUGGUGUACCUGACUCUGCGGAAACAGCUGCAGGAUGCCGGCGACGAUGAAGCGUCCAGCAAGGCAGCUCUGGUCGGAUCGCUCACAAUCGGCACAACGUUCCUGCUGUCCCCAGUGUCGGGUAUCCUCACCGACAAGAUCGGUCUCCGGCGGACAACACUGUGCGGCGGAGUUCUCACCUGUGGUGGAAUGUUCCUGUCUUCUUUUUUCACUGAAAACGUUACCGCUCUGUACUUUACCUAUGGAAUCAUGUUCGGACUGGGUGCGGCCUUGGCAUACACACCUUCGCUGGCCAUUUUGGGACACUACUUCAAGAAGUACUUGGGACUGGUCAGCGGCGUUGUGACAGCCGGGUCGAGCGUCUUUACGGCGAUCAUGCCAAUCUUGUUGGAGAAGUUAGUGGCGAAGACGGGACUGGCCACUUCGUUCCGUGUGUUAUCUGUGAUAUCGAGCUUUGUGAUAUUCUGUGCGUUGCUGUACAAGCCACUGCAGCCUCCACCACCCCCGCCGAGGGUGAAGCCGGGUCGUUCCAGGUUCAAUACGAUGAUGCGAUCGUUCAUCAACUUUGACAACUGGAAAAAGAAGAAGUACAUCAUUUGGGCACUGUCGAUCCCGAUCGCGCUGUUUGGAUACUUUGUGCCUUACGUUCACAUGGGCAAGUUCGUGGAGGAUUCGUUCCCGGGAGAGGAGAAAAAUCUGCCCGUCAUGUGUAUCGGAAUCACUUCCGGACUGGGUCGGUUGUUGUUUGGUUACAUUGCGGAUCUUCCCCGCGUGAAUCGAGUGCUGCUCCAGCAGAUGUCGUUUGUGUUGAUCGGUACGAUGACGAUGUGUCUUCCUGCGACUGGUUCUUUCCCACUUUUGCUGGCGAUCGCCCUGGCCAUGGGUCUCUUCGACGGAUGCUUCAUUUCGCUGCUGGGUCCGAUCGCUUACGACAUCUGUGGACCACGUGGUGCGACUCAAGCCAUCGGAUUCCUGCUGGGGCUGUGCUCGAUCCCGUUGACCGUUGGACCUCCGAUCGCGGGACGGUUGUACGACCACACCGGCUCGUACAUGAUACCCUUUGUCCUCGCCGGCAUUCCACCACUGUUUGGUGCCUCGACCAUGUUCCUCAUCAGAUGCGUCAAAGACGACGCUCCGGCCACUCCGGAAACAGUAUUAAAAGAUCCCACUCACCAGCCGCUGGCGCAAACUGCAUGGGACAGUGAAAAUCCGGCAGACGCGAGGAACGGCAAGCUGAACGGACACAUACGGGAAGAACGUCGAGCCACGCUGGCCAGUUCAGGUAUAAUAGAUGUCAAGUCUCCUCUGCUUACUAACGUUGCCGUGUCCUCGCUGGUGGUAGAUUCCUUCUAUUCGGACUAUCCGGGCAGCUUUCGCGAGCGCAAAUACAGCUAUAGCUAUCUGUAGGAAUUAACCAAAAGAGUGCUUUCUUGCUUUCAUCCUCGUAGUUAGUCACUAAUCACCAUUCGUUCUUCAUUCGUCUAGAGAUGCUACUUAAUCAGUAGUACAAUUUACUUUGGUAGCUUCACAUUAUUUAAUUGCCCCGUUUGGCCGUGCCAUGCCCUCCACGCAUGUGGCCAGAAGAAUAAAAGAGUGUGUACUAGGGCAAAACGCUAUUAUCAUCAACAUUACGCUUAUGUAUUAUUUACUGCCUUACUUGGGUCAAAAAUGGGUUCGUGAGCGGUUUAAUUCCAACGCUUAUGCUGAGCAAUUGUAAAAUACUUUUUUUGUGAUCUAGACAACGUCAAGCCUUAGUUUAAAAUAAAUUUGCUUGUUUUGUCCUUCAAAGUGAGUUUCAAAGCUUUUCCGUAUUUUUUAUUUUUCUUAUUUUUAACAUCAAAUUCGAGUUCUGUGACCCCAUUUUAUACAAAUUUGAAUGAUGGGGUAAUAUUUCAUCACCGCCAUUUUGGCCGCCAUCUUGGAUUAAAAAAAUCUUAAUCACUUUAAAGUUGUUUAGGGGUCAUAUUAAGGCUCAGCAAUAAAAAAUAAGACAUAGAAAAUAGUAGUUUAUGCAACAUGUUGCAAAAAGAGGAUUUUUUCAGCACGAGUCGUACAUUUAUCCAACGAGGUUCACCGAGUUGGAUAAAUACGAAGAGUGCUGAAAAAAUCAAGUUUUGCAACGAGUUCCAUACAACAUUUUUUGCAAUUCCAAAAAACACACACUGAGUGCAAUUUUAUGUCAAAUUUUCAUGUAUUUUGUCAAUAAAUCGUUUAAAUCAAAAAAAUGUUGAAAAGUGUAACUUUUCGAAACAAGUGCUGAAAAGUUCAACUUUUCAGCACCCAUUUGAGUGCUGAAAAGUAGAACUUUUCAGCAUUUAUUUUGAAAAGUGUUGCUAUUCGAUUCUGUUAUUUUUGGUACAGAAAAGCAGGCUAUUUCGUCGUUCAAGAAUGACAGGAAAAGUAAGUAGUUUCACGACGGAAUUGCAAAAAAAAUAUUUUUUUGUGAUUCGAUUAUCCGAAGUGAAAUUUUGCCAAGACCUUCGGAUUAUCGAGUCUGGAAUGUACAAGCCAUGGUAAUAUUCCAAUGAAAAAAGUAAUUUGAAAUUUAAUAUACUUUAGUUAAGUUAUUUUACAAUAAUUUCACAAGAAGUUAAAAUAUGUUCAAACUGGUUUAAUCAUGUUAAAUUGAUUAUCUCGUCUACUUCCAUAGAAAUUAUAAAGUUUUUGGGAAAAAACUUAUCUUUCUCUCGUGAAUAUUUGAAGUUUACAUAAAAUACAUUAUCAAAACAAAAAAAUAAUACUAAAAAUGUGUUAACUUGAUAGGUCAACUCCUUUCAUAUUUUGUUAUCCAUGGUAAAAUAUAUUCAAUAUUGUUUUGGAAAAUAUGCAUCCAUUAUUGACUAUUUUUUGUUCAAUUUUUAAUUAAAUAUUGAAAAUAACAUCUUUGAAAAUGUAAGCAUAAUAUUUAAAAAUAAUAUCCAGUUGACUUAAAAUCCAAGUCGAAUAUUUCAAAAAUCUCAACAGUAAGGUUAAAAUUGAUAUAGCUGAUAGCCUUACAGUAAACCAAAACGUGUAGUUUCAUUUUAGUCUUUCCUUAUGUGUUUAAAUAAAAUCAUUACCCCUCCCUUGUUUGGUAACGAUCACAAUGCGUUAUCUUUGUUUACUUGUUACACACUCUCACUAGCGAGUGUGGGAUGUUCCGCUGACGCUGACGCUCAACAAAGAGUUAAGCUUAACGCGCUUCCUAUCGCAGCCGUUGCACUCUAGUUGCUGUGGAGUGUCAGUGAAGGAUUCUUACUCAAUCGCGAAUCGGCUCCUCCCUGCGUCCAUACUUUGUCGUUGGCCGGUUCCAUAAACAAUCUGCUCCACGAACCCAGUGACCCGCUUGACUCUCGCACCAUCACGCAGUAAUGACGGGAUUAGUUUCGAACUGAUUGCCAGAUUGCCAGUCUGGAACUGAUAGAUUUAACACCAUUAAUGAAUCACUUACUGCGGAGAACAAUUAAGACAAAAAAAGAGAAGUGUUAGUCGUACUUUAAAACAAUGGUCCAUGGAAAAUAAAUGGAGCGAUUUCAGUACCAACAAAACCAAAAUUAUCAGGUAUCGGCGUGAACGUAGAGCUUUGUAGAACCUUGGUAACGAUGCAGCGUUACGUGAGGAGUGAUUUUAAAAUGUAGUUUUAGAGCAAACUCAACAACAUGCAACACGCAAGUGUGUGUGUUGCGCAGAAUAUACGAUAAGCAUAAUCAAGACUAUUUUCUAAGGAAUUAGAAACUCACUCAAU
RNA transcript from Culex pipiens pallens (northern house mosquito), 5058 nucleotides. It is a transcript of the gene named monocarboxylate transporter 10, with no coding region annotated. The transcript has 5 exons. The record is from RefSeq and is a predicted model, not a curated record. NCBI's taxonomy places the organism in Eukaryota, Metazoa, Arthropoda, Insecta, Diptera, Culicidae.